This 461-nucleotide ribosomal RNA is filed under the name bacterium LB2007. RNAcentral describes it as "bacterial SSU rRNA". It matches the Rfam family "Bacterial small subunit ribosomal RNA", at positions 28 to 473 of the family's 1533-position model. The record is from RNAcentral.
GAUGAACGCUGGCGGCGUGCCUAACACAUGCAAGUCGAACGGAGAUUUAACGCUGAUGAAGCUUCGGCAGAUUCUUGUUAAAUCUUAGUGGCGGACGGGUGAGUAACGCGUGGGCAACCUGCCUCAUCCUGGGGGAUAACAGCUGGAAACGACUGUUAAUACCGCAUAAGCGCACAGCAUCGCAUGAUGCAGUGUGAAAAACUCCGGUGGUAUGAGAUGGGCCCGCGUCAGAUUAGCCAGUUGGCAGGGUAACGGCCUACCAAAGCGACGAUCUGUAGCCGGCCUGAGAGGGCGGACGGCCACAUUGGGACUGAGACACGGCCCAAACUCCUACGGGAGGCAGCAGUGGGGGAUAUUGCACAAUGGAGGAAACUCUGAUGCAGCGCCGCCGCGUGAGUGAAGAAGUAUUUCGGUAUGUAAAGCUCUAUCAGCAGGGAAGAAAGACUCGUAAGAGAGAUGAC